UACGAAGGGGGCUAGCGUUGCUCGGAAUCACUGGGCGUAAAGGGUGCGUAGGCGGGUCUUUAAGUCAGGGGGGAAAUCCUGGAGCUCAACUCCAGAACUGCCUUUGAUACUGAAGAUCUUGAGUUCGGGAGAGGUGAGUGGAACUGCGAGUGUAGAGGUGAAAUUCGUAGAUAUUCGCAAGAACACCAGUGGCGAAGGCGGCUCACUGGCACGAUACUGACGCUUAGGCACGAAAGCGUGGGGAGCAAACAGG
RNAcentral lists this ribosomal RNA (253 nucleotides) under uncultured bacterium. Its description in RNAcentral is "partial 16S ribosomal RNA". It matches the Rfam family "Bacterial small subunit ribosomal RNA", at positions 524 to 776 of the family's 1533-position model. The record is from RNAcentral.